Molecule: long non-coding RNA, 230 nt
Filed under: Homo sapiens (human)
Lineage: Eukaryota; Metazoa; Chordata; Mammalia; Primates; Hominidae
Description: HSALNT0209051
Source: RNAcentral
GGCCCCAACCCUCACCUCCAAAUCCUGAUUUUCAUGCCGCCAGACUCUCCUGAAUCUUUUCUUCUCCUACAACAAAAAACCUGUCCAGAUUGUCUGCUCCGCUUGAACAAUCUGCCCAGUUUCUGGAGUUCUUGUUUAAUCUGUCUAUAGAACUACAAUUCUGAGAGUCUCCCAAAACUUGUGCAGUUAAUGUCACCUAAUUUAUCUCUGAUGAAUAUGUAUCCAGCUUG